CCAGACUCCUACGGGAGGCAGCAGUGAGGAAUAUUGGUCAAUGGCCGAGAGGCUGAACCAGCCAAGUCGCGUGAGGGAUGACGGUCCUAUGGAUUGUAAACCUCUUUUGUCAGGGAGCAAAGGGCGCCACGUGUGGCGCUUUGCGAGUACCUGAAGAAAGAGCAUCGGCUAAUUCCGUGCCAGCAGCCGCGGUAAUACGGAGGAUGCGAGCGUUAUCCGGAUUCAUUGGGUUUAAAGGGUGCGUAGGUUGUUUUAUAAGUUAGCGGUGAAAUACCGAUGCUCAACAUCGGGGCUGCCGCUAAUACUGUAGGACUAGAGAUCGGAUGCAGCAGGCGGAAUGUAUAGUGUAGCGGUGAAAUGCAUAGAUAUUACACAGAACACCGAUUGCGAAGGCAGCUUGCUAGGCCGGAUCUGACACUGAUGCACGAAAGCGUGGGGAUCGAACAGGAUUAGAUACCCGCGUA
RNAcentral lists this ribosomal RNA (464 nucleotides) under uncultured bacterium. RNAcentral's name for it is "bacterial SSU rRNA". It matches the Rfam family "Bacterial small subunit ribosomal RNA", at positions 331 to 792 of the family's 1533-position model. The record is from RNAcentral.